Molecule: ribosomal RNA, 498 nt
Filed under: uncultured bacterium
Lineage: Bacteria
Description: partial 16S ribosomal RNA
Rfam family: Bacterial small subunit ribosomal RNA
Source: RNAcentral
GACGAACGCUGGCGGCGUGCCUAAUACAUGCCAGUCGAGCGGACGAAUCGAAAGCUUGCUUUUGAUUCGUUAGCGGCGGACGGGUGAGUAACACGUGGGCAACCUGCCCUGUAGGCGGGGAUAACACCGAGAAAUCGGUGCUAAUACCGGAUAACACGAAAUGUCGCAUGACGUUUCGUUGAGAGACGGCGCAAGCUGUCGCUACAGGAUGGGCCCGCGGCGCAUUAGCUAGUUGGUGAGGUAACGGCUCACCAAGGCGACGAUGCGUAGCCGACCUGAGAGGGUGAUCGGCCACACUGGGACUGAGACACGGCCCAGACUCCUACGGGAGGCAGCAGUAAGGAAUCUUCCGCAAUGGACGAAAGUCUGACGGAGCAACGCCGCGUGAGCGAAGAAGGCCUUCGGGUCGUAAAGCUCUGUUGUUAGGGAAGAACAAGUAACGCAGUAACUGGCGUUACCGUGACGGUACCUAACGAGAAAGCCACGGCUAACUACGUG